RNAcentral lists this ribosomal RNA (466 nucleotides) under uncultured bacterium. RNAcentral describes it as "partial 16S ribosomal RNA". It matches the Rfam family "Bacterial small subunit ribosomal RNA", at positions 28 to 507 of the family's 1533-position model. The record is from RNAcentral.
GAUGAACGCUGGCGGCGUGCUUAACACAUGCAAGUCGAACGAUGAAGCCCAGCUUGCUGGGUGGAUUAGUGGCGAACGGGUGAGUAACACGUGAGUAACCUGCCCUUGACUCUGGGAUAAGCCUGGGAGACUGGGUCUAAUACUGGAUAUGACUUCUCAUCGCAUGGUGGGGGGUGGAAAGAUUUAUUGGUCUUGGAUGGACUCGCGGCCUAUCAGCUUGUUGGUGAGGUAAUGGCUCACCAAGGCGACGACGGGUAGCCGGCCUGAGAGGGUGACCGGCCACACUGGGACUGAGACACGGCCCAGACUCCUACGGGAGGCAGCAGUGGGGAAUAUUGCACAAUGGGCGCAAGCCUGAUGCAGCGACGCCGCGUGAGGGAUGACGGCCUUCGGGUUGUAAACCUCUUUCAGUAGGGAAGAAGCGAGAGUGACGGUACCUGCAGAAGAAGCGCCGGCUAACUACGUG